This 499-nucleotide ribosomal RNA is filed under the name uncultured Pseudomonadota bacterium. RNAcentral's name for it is "bacterial SSU rRNA". It matches the Rfam family "Bacterial small subunit ribosomal RNA", at positions 355 to 871 of the family's 1533-position model. Lineage: Bacteria; Pseudomonadati; Pseudomonadota. The record is from RNAcentral.
UGGGGAAUAUUGGACAAUGGGCGCAAGCCUGAUCCAGCAAUGCCGCGUGGGUGAAGAAGGUCUUCGGAUUGUAAAGCCCUUUCGGCGGGGACGAUGAUGACGGUACCCGCAGAAGAAGCCCCGGCUAACUUCGUGCCAGCAGCCGCGGUAAUACGAAGGGGGCUAGCGUUGCUCGGAAUUACUGGGCGUAAAGGGCGCGUAGGCGGCGCCGUCGGUCAGGCGUGAAAUUCCUGGGCUUAACCUGGGGGCCGCGCUUGAUACAGCGGUGCUUGAGGGCAGAAGAGGCUCGCGGAAUUCCCAGUGUAGAGGUGAAAUUCGUAGAUAUUGGGAAGAACACCGGUGGCGAAGGCGGCGAGCUGGUCUGUUACUGACGCUGAGGCGCGACAGCGUGGGGAGCAAACAGGAUUAGAUACCCUGGUAGUCCACGCCGUAAACGAUGUGCGCUGGAUGUUGGGGCCCUUAGGGCUUCAGUGUCGUAGCCAACGCGAUAAGCGCACCG